UCUGUGCGGUUGUCGGGAGAUUCACGGACUGAUGCGAUUCCCCGGCAGGUGAAUCUUGCCUUCUGCUAAAGUGGAGAACCCUGAACUUGUGGAGUGGUCAGAACCAGUUGCUGAGUUGCUUGAUUUGGAUCUGAAAGAAUGUGGUUGCAACUAGUGAAGUCAGUAUUUUGUUGGCAUUGGAUCCCUCAAAGAAUUUUCACAAAGAAUCAAUUCAG
Long non-coding RNA from Magnolia sinica, 215 nucleotides. RefSeq lists it as uncharacterized. NCBI's taxonomy places the organism in Eukaryota, Viridiplantae, Streptophyta, Magnoliopsida, Magnoliales, Magnoliaceae. The record is from RefSeq and is a predicted model, not a curated record. The transcript is spliced from 3 exons.